CGGAGGGACCCCUGACAUUUCACUAAAAUGAGCGUGCUCAGCAGGAAGAGAUGUGUUCCUCACGCUAGAAGCCACCCCGUCACAUGUAGUGGUGUCCCGUUUAAUGGAUUCUGACAUGGAUUAUGAAAGGCCAAACGUAGAGACCAUCAAGUGCGUUGUGGUGGGGGACAACGCCGUGGGUAAGACCAGGCUCAUCUGUGCCCGCGCUUGCAAUGCCACCCUCACCCAGUACCAGCUGCUGGCCACGCAUGUGCCCACAGUAUGGGCCAUCGACCAAUAUCGUGUGUGCCAGGAGGUAAGGCUGCAGGGCUACCUGGCUGGGGGUCCACGCCAUGAGUCUGGGCUUG
This 347-nucleotide long non-coding RNA is filed under the name Pan troglodytes (chimpanzee). Its description in RNAcentral is "long non-coding RNA NONPTRT016607". Lineage: Eukaryota; Metazoa; Chordata; Mammalia; Primates; Hominidae. The record is from RNAcentral.